GAUGAACGCUGGCGGCGUGUUUAACACAUGCAAGUCGAGCGAUGAAGUUUCCUUCGGGAAACGGAUUAGCGGCGGACGGGUGAGUAACACGUGGGUAACCUGCCUCAUAGAGUGGAAUAGCCUUCCGAAAGGAAGAUUAAUACCGCAUAACGUUGAAAGAUGGCAUCAUCAUUUAACCAAAGGAGCAAUCCGCUAUGAGAUGGACCCGCGGCGCAUUAGCUAGUUGGUGGGGUAACGGCCUACCAAGGCGACGAUGCGUAGCCGACCUGAGAGGGUGAUCGGCCACAUUGGGACUGAGACACGGCCCAGACUCCUACGGGAGGCAGCAGUGGGGAAUAUUGCACAAUGGGGGAAACCCUGAUGCAGCAACGCCGCGUGAGUGAUGAAGGUUUUCGGAUCGUAAAGCUCUGUCUUUGGGGAAGAUAAUGACGGUACCCAAGGAGGAAGCCACGGCUAACUACGUGCCAGCAGCCGCGGUAAUACGUAGGUGGCGAGCGUUAUCCGGAUUUACUGGGCGUAAAGGGAGCGUAGGCGGAUGAUUAAGUGGGAUGUGAAAUACCCGGGCUCAACUUGGGUGCUGCAUUCCAAACUGGUUAUCUAGAGUGCAGGAGAGGAGAGUGGAAUUCCUAGUGUAGCGGUGAAAUGCGUAGAGAUUAGGAAGAACACCAGUGGCGAAGGCGACUCUCUGGACUGUAACUGACGCUGAGGCUCGAAAGCGUGAGGAGCAAACACG
This 733-nucleotide ribosomal RNA is filed under the name uncultured bacterium. Its description in RNAcentral is "bacterial SSU rRNA". It matches the Rfam family "Bacterial small subunit ribosomal RNA", at positions 28 to 776 of the family's 1533-position model. The record is from RNAcentral.